Long non-coding RNA from Oncorhynchus keta (chum salmon), 958 nucleotides. RefSeq lists it as uncharacterized. The transcript is spliced from 3 exons. The record is from RefSeq and is a predicted model, not a curated record. Lineage: Eukaryota; Metazoa; Chordata; Actinopteri; Salmoniformes; Salmonidae.
CGGAGGAGCGGGGUGACGUGAGAGAACUUGGGAAGGUUGGACAUGUAGUGUACUUCAAAUACCUGGAUUAAAUACAUGGGAGUGUAUUUAUGUCAGUGUAUUUGAGUCGUUUUUUUGCAAGUACAUUCCAAUAUUCAACUACUUCUUAAUACUUGUUUUGAAAUGUAUUGAAAAGUAAUUGGGGUGUACUUGUACAUCAAGCUAUCUCAUGCUACAGAAAACGGAUAUAGGCUCAUGCUCCUAUGAUACAUUAUGGCACGCCAAGGCUUGAGCAAGGCUAAUUACCUUACUGGACCAUCAGACAGGUAGCCUUUACUAGCAGUCAGCGUAUGGACGGUACAAUAACAUAUGAUAAAAAGCAAACAUGUAUGGUCAUUGGUCAGUGUAUGGCAGGGUUCCUGGAGAGCUACCGUCCUGUAGGUUUUCACUCCAACCCUGUUCCUGGAGAGCUACCCUCCUGUAGGUUUUCACUCCAACCCUGUUCCUGGAGAGCUACCCUCCUGUAGGUUUUCACUCCAACCCUGUUCCUGGAGAGCUACCCUCCUGUAGGUUUUCACUCCAACCCUGUUCCUGGAGAGCUACCCUCCUGUAGGUUUUCACUCCAACCCUGUUCCUGGAGAGCUACCCUCCUGUAGGUUUUCACUCCAACCCUGUUCCUGGAGAGCUACCCUCCUGUAGGUUUUCACUCCAACCCUGUUCCUGGAGAGCUACCGUCCUGUAGGUUUUCACUCCAACCCUGUUCCUGGAGAGCUACCCUCCUGUAGGUUUACACUCCAACCCUGUUCCUGGAGAGCUACCCUCCUGUAGGUUUUCACUCCAACCCUCCUCUAGCGCACCUGAUUCUAAUAAUUAGCUGGUUGAUAAGCCGAAUCAGUUUUUUUUUUACAAAAACUAAAAAAGUACUUUAUGUUCAGUGUAUGGUAUACUGUAGGGUUGGGAUUUAAUUUGGGAUCAUCUU